UAAUGAAUCCGAACUCAGAACAAUCUUCCCCAUUGGCCAUCAAAGCAUUUUUUACCAUUUUUGCCUCCACUUCAUCAACAUCCGACCCAUUGAUAUUGGAGAUUAUAUAUUGCAGUGACUUACAGUAGCCAAGUAGUUUGGUUAGAUAGGAAGAUCGGCACCCUCAUAACCUAUCAAAGAAACCUGUCAAUACUCUUUCUGCUGAGUCUCGGAUGACUGCUCCCUAUCCUGCCUCAUAACCUGUGCCAAAAAUUGUACUGUCCAUAUUGUAUUUCUAGACCCCAGGCGAUGGAGCUUCUCACAGCAGGGACCUUGACUUGGUGAGCGAGAGUUGUACCUUGCCUCUGUCUCUAACUUAAUGUGCCUUUCUCCGUUCAUGCAAAAACUUCCUCGUUAGAAAGAUGGAGGUCUAAUCACCAAACAUCCUUCAAGUCUAU
This 437-nucleotide long non-coding RNA is filed under the name Carica papaya (papaya). Its description in RNAcentral is "long non-coding RNA (CPAP_LNC014375)". Lineage: Eukaryota; Viridiplantae; Streptophyta; Magnoliopsida; Brassicales; Caricaceae. The record is from RNAcentral.